UUGUGCAUUUUCAGAACAGCACGCUGUGGAUGAGCUUCUCCAGUUGUCAGCGAAGGGAGGUGACAUCGAUGGACAAGUGUUGGCUUACCUCGAGCUUGCACAGUUCCACAAUGCUAAGCAACUAUCAGCUUGGUGUCUCCAUCACAUCUGCACAAAUUACAAUAGCAUCUGCCGCAAGUUCCCCAAAGAAAUGAAGGUCAUGUCUCCAGAUAACCAGAGGCACUUUGAGAAGCAGCGCUGGCCUCCUGUGUGGUUCCUGAAGGAGGAGGACCGCUAUCUGCGCUCACAGAAAGAGCGCGAGCGUGAGGAGGAGAUCUUACGCAAGCAGCACACCAAACGGGGCUGGUGUUUCUGGAAACAUUCGUCCUCCUCUCCCCACGUCUCCUAAACGGUUUCUCCCAUACUGUUCUUCAUCCUGACCCGGAUCAUCCUACCCCUGAAUAACUAACGCCCCCUGUAACACAUAUAGAGGAUGUGGCUUUGAGUCCUCUAGCAGUGGCGAAAUGACUCUCAGUGCUACUACGCCUGAAUGUCAGCAUGUUUGGGGGAAUGUAUGUGCCUCUUUAUAAGUGUGGGUGACUUCAUGAGUGCAUUUUGGUAAGCUUGUGUGAAAAGGUAGGAUUUAACUAAAGGGUGUGUCCAUUGAUGUGUGAGUGUAUGUUUGCGGUUGGAAUGAUUGAGUAAUGCUUCCGAGUUUAUGCUUCCCAAACGCCCUGAUCUAUAAGGGCAGCAGCGUUGCAUUGCAGCCCCUUGUCCCCUUCACGAGAGCUCCGCCCCCCCACCAGCACUCACAGUGUCCCAGCCUUUGAGUGAUUGGACAGGGACCAAGGGCUCUUUAUCUCUCUCAGUCUCCUUCCUUCACAUUGACCUUAAUGACUAUACACAUUAACCACUGCUGCUUCUCUCUGGAAGCUUACCUCUGCCUUCACUUCUACGCAGACUGUUAGCUUGCACAUGCAGACUGGUGCAAAAGAUCCUGCGCUCUAAAACCAGCACUGGAAUCCCAGGAACUGACACAUAACAAUGUAAUUAUUAUAAUUUUAAUAUUAUUUGAUCUUUUUAUCUGCACCUUCUUGGACACUUAUCAGGGAAAAUGACACACACUACUCCCAGGAAGUGAACCUUGAUUACCAUUGCAACGAUGGGACUGUGCAUCUGGAGUCUAAGUUUGGUAACCCUAAACCUGUUGGCAAUUCGGGAUGCUCCAGUCAGAAGGCUUGAUCAUAGCUAUUAGCCUCCAGUCUAGUAUUGAAGUGGUCCUUGGUGUCCAUCAUCCACCCCUGCAACUCCCACCGCCUCCUCCUGCUCACCACAUGCGCAUAAAUGAGAAACACAAGCUCUCCUUGGUUGGAUUCACCAAUCUGCACUUCAGAGACAUUCAAAGUGACCACUCUAUAGCAAUGAUGGGGGUAAGGAGGGCUCGCCUUACUCGAUGCCUCUGCCAUUGAGGAAUGAUGGAUGCAGUAUUAAACAAAUGUGCGUGUUACGUCCAUUGCACCUCAGCCAGCCUGCCUUUACACCCCUACACCACUAGGGGCAGCACUGCUCAGGGCCCCGGCCCUAACCUUCGCACUAACAGGAGUUUUUGUGCCUGCGCUUGCGUUUAAGUUAUUAAGUUUAGUAUAACUUAAAUCCUUGCAGAGUGUUGAGAGAAGGCUAAAGCCCAGUGUUAAUAUUGCAUUUUAAAAACGGAGUUAAUGUGACUUCAUUUUUACGUAAUUCUGAAAACCAAAGCUGUGAUUGUUUUGAUCGUUUUCUUUCUCACUUCCCUCUUUUCUGAUUCCCUGCUUCCUAUAGGGAUGGAGGAGAAAAGAGAAAGUGGCUUGUGGGGGAUGGAGGCCGUAUGGUAUUUUAAUCCCUUCUCGUAGUGUUUUCAGCUUGUGGUGUCAGGAGAAAUGUAUAACUGCUGGACAUAACAUAUAACUGGCCUUCCAUUUAUUUUUGCUGGAAUUGAAAAUGGUGCUUAAGACACAAUAAGACAGUGUGCACAUGAACAAACACACAAACAUCGGAUUUUAUGUUCACAGUUUAGCGUGUAUCUAGUUAUUUAGUGUUGACCUGCGAUUAACGGGCAAAAUAUUAAUGAUGGUAUUCAACUGUCAUUGUUUGACCUUACAUUUUCUUCUCCAAAUGCUAGUCUCUAAGAGGUCCUAAUAGGUUGUUCAUUUUAGAAUGUGUAGAUUUCUCAUUUUACAUACAGUGGUAACAAUUUUAAAGGGUUUUAAAUCCUACUGAAUUCAAAAACAUUGGUGUGUUCGGUUAUGCUUCAUUGUUAAACAGGAAAAUGAUAUUACCUGAGAUUGAAUUUGAAAUUGUGAGGUUCCUCUCAAAGGAUUUGAUAUAUUUCUGCAGAUGAAAGCAAAUAUGAUUUUCUCGUUAAGGGUGCUAAUUUCUUUGGGAUUCGUCACUGAAUGUGAAAAUGAGACUUUGCGGCGGCAAGUUUUUCCAUUAGCAUGUUGUUCUAUUUGUGGGUUUGCACCCCUCAGCUUUAGCCAGGCAACGGUAGGAGAUAGAGAGAUGGUGUUAGACAUGUGGUGCAUUCUGACGAUCACCAUGGGAGGUAUGUUAAAGUCAUUGUCGGCUACAGAAAUAGAAGUCAGACUGGAUCCCACGAGACCCAAGUGAGAUUGAGCUGAUUCCUUUCAGAAAAGAGUGAAAGUGGUGGAAAAAUUGAACAAGUCUCAGCCAGCAUUACAUCCAACCUACAUAAUUUGGAUUUACUACUGUUUCAAAUUCAUCCCAUUGCAGUGCUUUGGGAAUUAAGAAAUAAAAUAAAAUAAAGGCUUGGAAAGUUUCUGAUUGACUUCCAUGGGCACCUUUUAGUUUCUAAUAGAAGGGGUGGCUAUUAGCUUUGGCUUAUUGAUGGUUGGUAUGACCCAUUAAGACUCUUCUUGUGGUCCGUGUGCCUUAUAGUUGGACAAAACAAAAAAUUAGAUUGGGAUUUUAGCGAGAUCUUAGUUUAAACACGCAGACAGGUGCUGCAGUGUUUGACAUGAUGGAUACAGUAUACAAUGUUCAUGAUAGUUUAAGAGCUGUAAAACGGAUGACCGUGUUGCUAUAUACACUCUUAGCCAUUAUAGUUCCUGAGGGGAUUUUUGAGCCAACUGGAGCCAUGCCUGUGGACAAUAUUCAGGCCUGCUGCUGGUUUAUAUGCAGACAAAUGGCCUUAAAUGAAACUCUUUGUAGAGUGUAGUACAGUAGGUUCGACUAAUCAUAUAGCCUUGAAUAAGCAUGUUUUCCAGAUUGGUAAUAAGGUGGAUGAACAAUGACACCAUGGUUGGACAUUUCCACUAUUGAUUGAGAGGUAGUGAUAAAAUUGGACUUACAGGUUGAUUCCUAUACUGUAAUUUCAAAACCACUGACUUUGAGAAAACAGCUUUUUAAUGAGCACUGGCUGGCCUGUGUGCUGGAAAAGUGCUACUACUUUAACAUUGUGGUUGAUUUGCAUGGUGGCCUAACUUUGUCAUUAUAAUGACACUUGGUGUUGGAAUGCACUUUCUUCUUUUUUUGUAUAUGACUAUACCUUUCUGUGCUUAGCAUGAAUUGUUCCUUAUGUAAGAUUGUUUUUGAAACCUGAUGAUUGUAGCAUGAUAUUUCCACUUAAGUCUUUCAGAAUUUCCCACAAUUUGCUCAGUGAUGAGCUGAAAAACACGACAAUGUCCAGCUUCUUUACUUAGUUGGUAACAAACCCCACAGUAGCUGUGGCUUUAUGCACAACUCAGUGUUAAGAAAUAAACUCAGCACAGCUCAAGGUAGCAUCACUAAUUAUAAAACAUGCUGGGACAUUUGCUUGAAAAAAAGGCAAUGCAGAGGAUCUGUUGCUGCUGUGCAGCUGUCCCCAUUAUGCUGUUACUGUAUUUACUGCAAUCAGUUAAGCCUGUUCUUCUGAUUUGUAAGAUACUGGGUACAGGGCCAAACCUGAAAACCAUCAUAGCAACAUUUACAUUUAAAUCAUGCUCCGUUAUGCAAAUAUUUUUAAGAAUUUCCCAAAUGGCUAAAGGCCAAGUGUAAUGUCUGGGUUUAGCCUGUAUGUAUACAGUCUAUGGUAAUGACAGAUGAAUGGGGUAAAACAUGAUGUAUGUUUCUGCUGUUAGACAGAUGCAUGAGUAUAUACAGCAGCGUUUCUUAACCUUUGGGCCAGGACCCUAUUUCAGGUCACUUGGUAUGCAUUUGGUGUAGUGGGAUAUUUCUUAAACUAAAAUGAUAAAUAAAUAUUAUACAAUGAAAAUGUUGGGAUAAAGAGACGGGGUCAUGGGCCAGAAAAGGUUAAGAAACCCUGAUAUACAGAGAGGGAGAAACGGAGAUUCUACAUUUGAACUUUUAAACCUUGUUGGCUUUAUUCAGCCCUCAGUUUAUGCUCCACACUGACCCCUACAGACCAAAGCCACACUGAGAGUGGGAGAUAAGGUUUUGGUAUUCAUCCUGAUUGUCUUGUUCUAUCCUAUCACAUCCUUUUUACUGUCACAUUCGCUUUUCUUCCUUCUCCGCAGGCCUGGCUUUCCUUUUUAAAUGUCAGGCCUAGUCAUUGAGAGAACACCUUGUUUUUAGUCUUUGGUGUGUCCUUUCCUGUGCCUUCAGUGAAAUCUCACUCUUUUGGCUCUGUACAGGCUGGCGGCGCUGCACCUGCAGCCUCUUGGGCUCAAAAUAAAGUUGAUCAAGCCAAGAAAUACCCACCUAAGUACAGAAAUAAAAGUAGGCAGCUUUCUUUAAUGUACAUUAUCUUAGCACUGGCUAUUUGGGUCUUAGUGAAAACUUCCAAUUAUGAGACAGAAAUGGAGCUUUAUAGCAUGGUAUUUCAUCUAUGCUAAAGCUGCGCAAUUUAAAUCAUGAAAUGACCAAGAAACCCAGCAAACCAGCAGUUUUAAAAUAAUGUUUUGCACUCUUUCAGGUGCCUGCACUUUCUAUCAUGUAGCUUAAUACAUCAUUUUUGAUAAGUACGUUAAGUCUUUAUAUUUACCAGUUUUCUUCAUCCAAGUAAAAUAUAUUAUUUAUUUUCCAAUUUUGUGUGAUAUAUUUCUCUCUAAGCCAAAUGUAAUAGUUUACCUUAAUGCUUCCACUAUUUAGCAGCAAUGUAUUAAGUUGCAAUCCGGCAUAAAAUCAGAUGGGGAUCAGAUUUGGACUACUGGUUGGAUAAAAGGCAGAUAUUAGCUGUGACAACUAUAUAUAUUAUGCUUUAAUUAUGAUAGUUGUUAUCCAAAGUACAGUACACUGUUGUCAUUUUGAGUCACAGCUGGAUUUAACCAUUCACUUUAUAACUGCCACCACACUGUAUUGAUAUACUAAGCUAGUGUAUGCUGUAUAGGAUUGUAAGCAAAGAAAGGAGAGAGAGAGUGUUUGUAUAGACACACGACGUGUGAUUAAUCCCAGGUCUAUAUACUGUCAUUCUUAAGUGGAACGUGUAAACUGUAUGUAUUGUUACAAACUUUAGUUUCCAUUGACUCAUACAUUGAGUUGUAUUAACAUUUACUGCUUAUAUAAUUGUGUGUAUUACUACAACAACAGGCAAAAGAAAGAACACACCACACUCACAAAACUAUUAAGGGCUUUCAAGAAAACAUACAACAAUCAGAAUGUUUUGCUGCUGUUGCAAAAAUGUUUUGGAACUUCAAAUUUGUAAUAUUUUUCAACCACUGUGAUUUGUACAAAAUUAAAAAUAAGUUAGAAAAAAGUUGUUUUCCUUUUAUGCCAUUUCAGUAUUUUGAUGUUUGACAUGGAUUUUAUUAAACUGUUAAUCUUU
Notothenia coriiceps (black rockcod) is the source of this 5737-nucleotide long non-coding RNA. RefSeq lists it as uncharacterized. The record is from RefSeq and is a predicted model, not a curated record. The transcript is spliced from 3 exons. NCBI's taxonomy places the organism in Eukaryota, Metazoa, Chordata, Actinopteri, Perciformes, Nototheniidae.